Molecule: ribosomal RNA, 468 nt
Filed under: uncultured bacterium
Lineage: Bacteria
Description: partial 16S ribosomal RNA
Rfam family: Bacterial small subunit ribosomal RNA
Source: RNAcentral
GACGAACGCUGGCGGCGUGCUUAACACAUGCAAGUCGAACGGAAAGGCCCUGAUUUUGUGGUGUGCUCGAGUGGCGAACGGGUGAGUAACACGUGUGUAACCUGCCCUUGACUUUGGGGUAACUUCAGGAAACUGGGGCUAUUACCGCAUAGGAGCUCCUGCUGCAUGGGGGGGGUUUGAAAGUUUCGGCGGUUGGGGAUGGACUCGCGGUUUAUCAGCUUGUUGGUGGGGUAGUGGCUUACCAAGGCAUUGACGGGUAGCCGGCCUGAGAGGGUGACCGGCCACAUGGGGACUGAGGUACGGCCCAGAGGGCUACGUGGGGCAGCAGGGGGGAAUAUUGCACAAUGGGCGGAAGCCUGAUGCAGCAACGUCGCGUGCGGGAUGACGGCCUUCGGGGUGGAAACCGCUUGCGCCUGUGACGAAGCGUGAGUGACGGUAACGGAUAAAGAAGCACCGGCUAACUACGUG